Mesocricetus auratus (golden hamster) is the source of this 19177-nucleotide long non-coding RNA. RefSeq lists it as uncharacterized. NCBI's taxonomy places the organism in Eukaryota, Metazoa, Chordata, Mammalia, Rodentia, Cricetidae. The record is from RefSeq and is a predicted model, not a curated record. The transcript is spliced from 5 exons.
UUACUAUUUCUGGCCAGAGUAGCACUCAGCAGGAAUAUCUUAAAUUUAGAAUUUCCUUUGAUAUAUUUAAGAAAUGUAUCUACAUCGAAUUCAAGCUUUUAUAAUUACAACUUAGAUUAUUAUAAACCAUACCAGCAGUGCAGCCCCCUUUCCCCAUACCUUCGGGCAGUCCUACCCUGGACUGCACAGCACUCAGACCUGACAGGGUUGGUUCUGACCUGGAGGGACUCGUAAGAGUAUCACAGUCCAUGCAUGCCAACUGCUGACCCUCCCACCUACAGAAGUGCUUGUUGAUGGGGAUCCUAGCCAGGGCUGUGGCAUGCGGCUGCAUCUGAUAAGGACCCUCUGCCCUCUGUGGUGCUUCUGUGUCCCAAGGCCUCAAUGGCCUGCUAUAGUUGUACCGAGGCUUCUGUUUCUUGCAUGACAAGCCGUAGUCACUUCUGAUUGUGGCAACACUGGGUGUAUGGGGGGUACCUCCUCUUAUGGCCGUGUGAUCCAGGUUCCCUUGUCUCAGCAGGACCCCCAAAUAGCUACCGGUAGGGCUUCAAUGACUUCUCUGCAUUGUAGACUGACAGAACAGGUCCCAUUUCACACAGCAUAGGGACCCUUCUCCUCCCAGGGCCAGGCUCUUGGCAGCCACGCCAAGCCAUUGCUGGCAUGGAUUCCCGGCGUUCUUGGUCGAGCGCAUGGCAUCGGAAUGCUACCUGCUUUGUCUCUGGCGUCAGCUGGCAAGCAGUCACGUGGCCGUAUGCGUGAGGCCAGAGCUAGAGACCAGAGACGCCUCCCGGACAGCUUCCUCUUAGCUCGCUCUGCCUAUCCUUUUCUUGGCUUUCAGCAUGACUGUCUGAGCAGGCAGAAAGCAGAAUAAAACUAGUAGGCUGCCCAGGGAAGGCCAGAUCUGUGUGGUUUGCCUGACCACCCUUUACCUGAGUCGUCAUGGACAGAAAGUCCCUUACCAUGGCCCACAUGAUGAGGAGUUAGUUGGUCAGUGGUUCCUCCACCAUCCCCGGUGGCCGAGCUGGCUCUGUGGUGCCUAGGUAUCUGGGAAGAGGUAGUAUAUGCUGCUCCCCCAUACUGUAGAUUCAUUGCGUUUCUCCAUGAGUACCUCUGAUGUCAUAUAAAGGGCCCAAAGUGACAUGGAGCUGAGAGGAUCUGGCAGGGGCAGGUGGCUGAGUCUGAUCAUUUCAGCAAAGUCGCCCCUGUCAGGCCCUUAGCUCCUCUAGCUGUUUCUGAUGGCUCCAUCAUAGGAUUAUGUCCCCAAGGCAGUGACAAGGAGUGGCUUUAGUUUCACUGAAGGGUCUGGGAGAACAGAGGUGGUGUGUUUCAGCUCUACCCUGGCACUCCUCGUUCUUGGCUGCUUGGUGGCUCUGGGAUCCUCUUGGCUCUCCCAGACAUUGGGUACUGAGCACACUGCCCAGUGCCAGGCAUAAUGUCCACCUCCCAUCAACUACAGGUCGGAGACAUAACCCCCCUCGUUAAUUUCGGUGAGAAAACCGAGGCUGAGAGCAGUUUUGCGGAUUCUUAGCCAAAUUCAAACCCAUAGUCCAGACUCCUGGCUGAGGCAGCUCUCGCCUCCAUGAUUAGGAUGGGUCACGCUAAGAGUCUUGGUCAGGGGGUAGCUGGAAUGGGAGCCCUGGCUCUCCCGAAGGAGAACAGCCGAGUGCCGGCCACCUCCUGCUACUCUGUAGAACCCAGCAUAGGAACAAUGCGGCCUCUAUCUGGAGCAGUUCGGGCAGCCUGGACUCCAGGCCCCUCAGAACGGCUUGGCUGGCCAGGCAGUCGCAACAUGGCGCCAGGGCCACCCUGCCCAUCUACAGGGCUGGCUGUUGCCAGGGCUGGGGCUGAGCUGGUGUUCCAGGCGUUCUCAGGCUAGCUGCUGAGUGGUCAGGCACUGUGGUAUCCUCCCUCCUCUCCCUGUCGUCCAGCCCCCGCCUUUUUUUUUUUUUUUUGGUGGUGGGUUUCGGGGCCCGGCCCACCCGCCUCUGCCACGUCUGCCAUCCUCCAAGCACCCACGAGCAUCUUUCGAAAAUUCCCGGUGGGCGGGGCCGAGCUGUAGCGGCCGCCUCUGCCCCCCCCCUCCCCGGGAGCCAGUGCCAGAUGAGAGAGAGCAGGAGACAAAAGUAGCAUUUUCCUCGUCCUCCUAGGCUGGCAGCAGGGCCUUCCCCCAGCGCCACUUGCUCCUGGCAGUCCUAACCCCGGACGCCAGAGUAGCCAAGGCCCAGGCCAGGAUGCACGGACUGAUGGACGCCAGAGCCCAGGGCCUCUCCGGCAGAGACUGGCACCUGGGGACAGCCUUUAGGCUGGUGGGAGCCCUCUUACCCAGCCAGGGCAGGGGACAUCGUUUUCACUUCCUGGCUUUUGAGAAAGUGACCCUGUCCUUCAGUUCCUUGGUAAGUGACCUUCUCCCUUUCGCCUGCUGGGGACGAGCAGAGGGCCCUGCCAUCUUGUGCUCCGUGCCUGUUAAGUCUCCUUCCCUCUAAUUGGCUUAACCCAAACCCCAAAUUCUAUUCCAGAGCCCCCCCCCAGUCUUGAGUGAAGCAGGCACUGCCAAAAACUGCAGGGAAGAGAGAGAAACCAAGCCAUUUAUUUUUAAGAUCCAAAGCUAUGGCUUUCGAAAUGAUAAUGAAAACACACGUUUGGUAUUUCACAGUGGCUGCGUGUUCAGUGAGGAGCUGAGGGCUGGAGGAGGCACCAGUCGGCAAAGCCACUCUUCCUUGCCUGUGUUGCUUUGUUGUUGAAGGGGGUCUUAUUAUUUCAUUAGCAUUUUUUUUAACUUUGGCAGUACCGGGAAUAGCAGAGGGGGAAAACGCAGAACCAUCGUAUGGUUCUCCAGCAAAGGGCACAGGCAAGGCCAGCCAAACACAAGAGGGAGGACUUUCGUGUUCAGAAACAGAGGUGGUUUUAUUCUGUCCCGCAUCCCUAAUGCCACCAUUUCCACGGUUUAGGGAUUUAGUUCCUUCUGCCUUUCGUUUCAUUUUGUUUUAUUUAUUUUUUAAAAAGAAGAAAGCUUUUCUUGGCUCAGCGUGGGGAAAAUCCGGGGUUCUACACUCUGCUUUUAAAGCAUUUGCUUUUAAGGUUUUUCUUUUUCUUUUUUCAUUUUGAGGGGAGAAUCUAACAUCACAGUAAUGUGCCCAGCUUGUAACCACGUUGCCAGGCUGGGCGAGACCUGCGACCAAGCAGGCCUCUGGAAGAGCACACCAAGUGGUUUCCAGGCCUGUCUAGACCCUGUCCCAUACUGGUUCCUCACCAGCAGAGUUGUGCUAGGCCACAUAGGGCCUAAACUGUGGCUGAUGAGGCUAAGGAGCCCCUGAAGACCUUUGUGUAACCCGCCAUGCCCAUGCUGCUGUGAGCCGAGUUAGUGCUAUCUGAGUUCAGUCGCAGGCCCCAUCCUUUAUAAAAAGAGACCCUUUGCAGAGCCCAGCCGCCUGAUCACCUCCACCCUUCUGGCACGCUGACAAAAGCGCCCUCGACCACAGCCCGGGUCCUUGUGUUUGAGGGUAGCUGGGGUCUUGAUUUAUGGGAACUGGAAAAUCCUACACAGAAAGUUCCACUGCACAGGAAGAGGAAAAUUCCCAAGUACAGACAUCUUUGUUUCCCUAGUCCAGACGCACAUGGGCUCUAUGUGUCCGGGGACUCAGCCACAGCAGCCACCCGGAGCAGACUUCGCUAGAUAUGAAAACGGAACCCAGCCCGGCUGCUUUUGUUCUUAUGCUAGGCAGCAGUCGAUACGGAAGGGUUUGGGGCUGCGGAGACAGGCAUAUAUAGCUGAGAUAAUUAAAACAUUUUCACGAUUAUGACAGCCACAUUCUGCUGCUGCAAGCUGGAGGAUUCAUUCCACCCAAAUAUUUAGCAAGCAUCGGAUAAAACACUAGUGGCAAAAUAAAAGUAAUAGGGGGAAAAGCAGCGUAAUAUAUUUCAAAGGCAAAAGCAUGGCAAAGAGAAUUAGGCAAGGAAGAAAAGGGAGGUUAACAGCUUGAAAGAAACUGCAUUUUAACAACUGCCCACCCUUCACCUGUUGUUUUUAAUAGUUAAUGUAGGUGAAUAUAGCUCCAAUUUUAAGUUCUGGGUGGAUGUGUGGUAGAAUUUCUUGAGCGCUAAUUCAUCUUCCUUUUGAACAAGGGGAAAGUAUGGAAAAAUAAUCCAUGUAAAUAUCUUCACUGUUAAAUUAGUACCUUCCACUCUGAGUAAAUUUACCCAUUGCUUUUAAUGUUUGUCUAUCACACCGUCUUUACACGUGUGGGAAGAUUUGAGUAUCCACUUGCCACCUUACGUUUUGAAUUCCUUUAUCAUCAGACCCCCGGCCCCCAAAUGUAAAAUGUCAUCCUCUUUUUAAAAAAAAAUGGGCAAAAUCUCAGCUCUUUCCAUGGCACCCAUUGCUUUUUGACAGUAUUUUUUAAAAAAAGAAAGAACCACGCAAAGCAGUUUCCACAUCACUGCUUCUAUAUAAAUUCCACUAUAGACAGAAAUUAUACAUUCUUGAGGCACAGAUGGGCUGGUCUGUCAUUACCACUGCCUGGUACUUGUUGGAACACACGGCAUAUUUUAAUUGUGGAGUCAACAAUUUCGAAGAACUGAGGUCAAAAUAAACAAGCCGCAUUUGUGUCGAGAAGCAAACUUGUUCCAUGAUCUUCUGGAAGGGCUGACAGAGUACCACUGCCGUGUUAGAUUUUUUUUUGUCUCUGGGUACUCAUGCAUGUGUGCUGUGUGUGUGUGUGUGUGUGUGUGUGUGUGUGUGUGUGUGUGUGUGUAGGCAUUUUCACACCAUGGGCACGCACGUGAAGGUCGGAGCGCAACUCACAGGAGUCAGCUCUCUCCCUGCACUGUGUGACUUCCAGAAACUGAGCUCGGAUUGUCAGGCUUCACAGACACAUACUGUUACCUGAGAGCUGGCUCACCAAUCCUGUCCCCAUCUUGUAAGACUCCAAAUGCCCUGUGUCAGAGGUCCUUCCUUAUUUUAAUUAAUUACCAAUUUUUAUCUCCAGUUCCAACUUGUGGGAUGUGGAAUUAUUAGUAUAUCUCCUUAACUAUAAGGAGGUUCAGCCUCCUGAUAUUUUGGGUUAGCAUGCAUGUAAUUAUUUUGAGACCUGCACACGGAAAAAACAAAUAAUAAAUAUUUCAAAUGGUUUUAAGUGAGUCAAUUGCAUAGAAUAGGUAUAAAUUUAAAAAAAAGUCUCAGCAAGGUAAGAAAAUACAUAUAUGUGGGGGCUGUAUCAACACACUAGAGGCCAGAGCACUCUUACAGCCACAAUUUGCAGAUGGUGAAAAUUGCUUAUUUUGGGAAUUGUGUACGUGCGAUGAUGUAAUCAGCCGUAAACUGCACUUUCGCCCCCUUCCCCAUGUGUUCAGCACUGACCUCUGUACUUCUGGAGUCCAAAGCUGUGCCCCUGGUCUGUAGAGAGCAUUUGAGGCUCCUGCACUGGGAGGGAGGAGGGAAAGGCCUUCUGCACACUGCCCCAGCGCCCCCAUCCCCGGGAGCUCCAGCCCCCACACCCGUUUGUUAAUAGAAAUGCUUUGUCGUGGCUUGUUUAUUUGAAGGCUUGUACCUGUUGGUGGAGAUGUUAGCGAACAGUGGAAAUGGAACAUUGACGAACUCCUCCACAGGUGGCUGGGAGUGGUGAGUCUGAGUAUCUACCCCCUUCACACUUUUCCUGUGGGUCUGCAGGUCUGUCAGCCACUGCCUCAGAGUCAGGGGAAACUGAAGUCAACGAACUCGAAGCCAGGGGGUGGCGACAGUGUUGUGUCAGUCAUGGGCAUGGCUUCGGUACUGUUUGGGCCAGGGAUACAGUGGCCUUUCACUUUCGGAAGAUCGCGUAUGUAGGGGAGAGAGACAAAGAGUUGCUCUGGCUCUGUAUUCUGUCUAUAAGUCAGUUACACUUUCCGAGCCUCAGUUCCCCUGUCUGUAGAAUGGGAACAGGAAGCAGAGAUCUAUCCAACACCAGAAGACUCAGUUAAUGGAGCACAUCCUUGCCCAGUCAUUGCUUCCUCGCUGUACUUUGGAGCCUCAGAACGUUUCCCAAAGCACCUGGAGAGGUGGGGAAAUCAGAGAGAUACAGCCAGCAGUUAGGUCAAGAAUGAGGCCCCGUUUCCUCCAAAGUUCCUACAGGUCAGCUAAAGUUUUUCACUUGUGUGUGCCCCCUCCGUGUACAGGUUAGAACAUGGAUGUGCAAUGAGGUCUUUGCAGGGAAACGUGCAUAGAGGCAUGUGUGUGUGACAUGCACACACAAACAUGGGUGUCUAUUUUCCCAGUGGCUAGUAUUCAGACCCGGCCCAGGUACCCGUAAUAGACGGGCAUUUUCUACCAAGGUGGGCAGUGCCUUUUAGAUAUUGUCUCUCUUCUUCUUUAAGUGAACCAUGGAGCCCUUUUUACAUCCUUGCAACAACUGUGGUAGACAGCCCAUCACUGUCCCUAGGGGUCUGAGAUGAGCCCCCUUCCCUAGGCUGGGAAGUUGAGGUGAGGGUGGGGUGGGGGUACAAUCAGUUCCAGAGCAAAGAUAGUCAGACGUAGUCAUCAGGCCCAGGGAAGGCCCAGACUGCGUUCUCCCUAUGUGGAUGGACGGUUCCAGGCGCCGGCCAUUUGCAGACCUGGAGGAAUGAGAGUGAGCCUCUGGGCCCAGCAGAGGAAAUGGCGGCCCAGAGCGGGGAAUCUAGGAAGGCGGGCCGAGGGCGGGGAGCUGCCCGGAAGUCCUGCUAUUGCUGCUGGUCAGCUGCUAGGGGCCUUCUUCCAAGGAGCCACCCACAGGGCUGGGCCUUCCCAGGCAGGUCUGUGUAUGCCUACAGGCAUGCUGGGCCCAGGGCAGGGCUUGCCCGUUAGGAACACUGUACAUACAGCAGAGGGGUUAGAUGAGACAGAAGCCCGGCACACCUUCUGACAGGUCUUGGAGCUUGAUUUUUAAAAAGAGGGUUACAGCACCUGGCUCAGACUGUGGAGGAAGCCCAUGAAUUGUUUGUUGUCUUUAUUAACCUCGUUGUGUCCUAGUAGGUAGAUCUAGGAAGCCUGAACUUUUAAGUGAGUUACUUGUUCACCUCAGCCUCAGUGCUCCGCCUCAAAAUGGGAGGGCAUGAGGCACAAGGGCUUCUUGUGAAGAAAUUAAAUAUCUGUGAAGUGAUGGGACAUUUGGCCUGAUGCAGGGCUGUUGAUGGGUAGCAGUUGUGGGUGGACCACGGGAAAGAGUCCUUGACAUUGGGCCUUGUGACUCUCUAGGCUUUGAGUUUGGGUAGGGGAUGCAGGCUGGAGCUGGGGUGCUCAGGAGGUAGCCUGGACAUACUAGUAUGUACGGGAACCUCUGGCCCAGUUUCCUGGGCGCCCAGCCCUGAGCGAGAUUCCUGGGGUGGGUGUGCCUAUGCUUCUGGCUUAGGCGUGGGAUCCUGCCUGCUCUCUCCCUGCCAGGACUCAUGGGAUGAACCUCACCUGGGCCUGGGCUUUCAAAGUCCCUGUUAGUAGCCUAGUGUUUCUGCCAGGUGCUAGCACGUUUGACCUUCUGAUAGACCCCUGCAGGGUCCAACAUGGCUGCUAUCAGAGGUCUCGGUGUCAGGGAGGCACUCCAUCCAGCCUAGGCUUUUUCUGCGGACGUAGAGUGAGUCACCCAAUGCCAGUAUAUCGGGAGACUCAGCACCUGAGGACUGGGGCAUGGGGAUCUCAGGCCUGUAUCCAGAGUGCUCUGGCAUCCUGGGAAAGCUCUGCCCCUCAGAUGUGGUCAUUCGUGGGCCAUCCAGCUCAGGGGCCAAUGCCAGGCACCUGAAAGUGGGCACUCCCAAGGCCAAGCUUGCAACUGAGACCUCAGCUAGGUGCCAAGGCAGCAAAAGAGUGGCCACUAUAGUCAGUGUCCAGCUGCCAAGAGAGGAGAUAAGACCAGGUAGGCAGGCCUGGUUAGAGACCUCCACAGCUGAAAGCCCCUGCCUUGGCCCAGGUGAGGGCUUGGCCACAGUAGGAGUUUCCCAGAGAGCACUAGUGCAGGUAGGUUAUCACAAACAUGUCUUACUCUGUGUGCCUGAGAGACCUCAUUUUGCAGAAUACCCACUAUGUGCUAGGCUCAGGCUGGGACAUUUCAUGAAUUUUUAAAAACCAUGUCCAUUUUUAACUUGAAUCUAUCCAAUCCGUUUUCAUCUCAACAUCUGACCAGGGCCCAUGCUGAACUAGUCAGAAUGUAAAAUAAACAAAACUCAGUCCCUGCCUUAGUGGAAGAAGUCCCAGUCUAGUGAGGGGUGGAUGUCAGCUUUUCUUUACAAGAGAAUAGAGGUGCAGAGAGGCCAAGGAACUUUCCCAUAGUCACAUAGCUUGGGUACCAGAACCCUAACCCUGAUCUUCCCCAUGGCUGUGCCAAAUGACCUGGCAUUGGACUCCUGUUUAUUUUCUGCCUGUUGGAGGCUGGCCUUGGCUGGUUCUCCCUAGACACCCAACACCAGCAAGAAUCUUACCUUUGGCCCGGAGUUCUGCUACAGAAAGGAGUUGUCCUGGAGCUCCAGGCCAUGUAUGUUUGAGGGUGCUGAAAAUCUCUCCCUGACAGAACUACUAUCGCCCCUAUGCUGGUGCCUGCAGGUCUAAAGGGUCUGGGGUAUUGCCCUAACUCAUGGUCUCCAUACUGUCAUGGUCUAAUGUGCUGUGAACCACACUCAGGGAUCAUACUGUUGUUCUCCAUGGCCCUGAGGCAGGGAGCUACUGAGCUACUUGGGACUGUGGGCCUAGAUGCUGGGUCUAAGGUCCUGGUAGACUCAUAAAAGGCCAGUUCUUGAUGGUGAAUCGGGAAUGUGUUAGCAUAGAGAGCAAGGGAGCCUUCUAUGAAUCCCAGCAGGCCAUUGGUUGGUGUGGCCCACCCUGGGGGCUUGAGUCCCCAAGCCCACAGAGUCUCUUGCAUAUCAAGAGUAGUGCCAAGCUCCCUCCAUCCUUCAGGGUCACAUCACAUAGGUUUUAGGCCCCACAGCACACCAGGCCAAGUGUGCUUUGGGAGGAGACCCAAUAGCCCCAUCCAGAGUACGAUGGAGAGGACCAUCUAGUGUUCUAGAGGUCUGCCUCCCCCCAUUCUACCCAUACCAGCAGGCCUGAGGCACACAGAGCACCAACAUGGCUGGCAUGGCAAAUGCAGAUAUCCUCGGGAAACCCAGGCUCCUACUUAGAUGCCAUGGGCCCAAUCCCUUCCGAGGAGACUCAGGUUAUAGGUUUGGAGCAUCUGAGGAAUUCAGGAGACUUCCUGGAGGUGGUGGACCCACAGCCCCGGUCUCUUCCCUAAAGCUGACCGCCAGGGCUAUGACUGCAGGGCCCCGCGCCCAACCCUACUCCUGCCACGUCCCAGGGCUCCCUGCCAGGCGCCACCCCACCCCAGCCCUGUACAGGCCACAUCUGCUGCAGCAGCCACGCCAGAGCUCCACCUCCUAUCCUGUCCCCAUGGAAACCAAGGGGGGGGGGUUAGCCACUGACUGGUUUCCAUUAGAGCAGCCUGCUUUUCUGGAGCCCUGCCCCUGAGCUUCAAGGCCUCCCCAGAGACUUCUUCCUGCAUUUGCUGAGCACCACUUAGUCUAUGCCAGCGAGCCCAAGGGUCCCAGCAUUGCCUACACUGGCCGACUUACAUCAGGGGAGUAUCAGGUGGGUUCAGGGCCCUGCCAAACUCUGGGGAUGCUUUGGGUCUUGGCAAGUUACGGUAUUAGGACUUGGUGCUUCCUCACCGAAGACUAUCACUUCAGAGAUUUUUAUAGCCCAGAAACCUGUGUGCCUGACUGAGUCCUGCCUGGAUUCCAGAGCUCCCACCCAGCCAUAGAACCUAGGGGUCGUUGGACCCCCUUUCCUAUCUUUGGGCCUUGGCUGCCCCAUCCACAACAUGAGAGGGUCAGCAGCUUUGCCUGAGUGCCUUGUAGAUAGACUUUAAAAAGAAGGAAAAAGGGAAGGAGGGAAAGGAAGAAAAGAAAGAGAAAGCGGAGCCACGUCAGUGCUGGCUCCUCUAGGUUCCCAGGCCCGGGUUUUGCUUCCUUUCAGAAAAGGUUUUUAAGGAAACUUGGUCAUGGAAUGUAACAGAGAUGGUGGUUGGAGAGGCCCCGGGCCAGCCGGAGCCCUCAGCAUCUGUUUGGCACCCAGUGACCUGGCUAUGAAUGCAGCAACAGGAGGCUUCAGUCCUGCCAGCGGGUUCUGCAAAUGACUGGAGAGGUUUCCAGAGAUCCGAAAUGUAGGCUGAAAAUGAGAUCCAGCUUUUAAAACCUCGGUGGGUUCAUCCCUAGGAAGGUGGGGAGGCCUGCAAAGGGGAUACACACUGGCUUUGUAAAAUUCACUCAGGGGCUGUAUGUAUCUAUGGUAGCUCAGCCUGGCUGGCCUUUAUACCAGUGGCACGGUAGCAUGCUACCCUCCUUCAUGGAAUCGGGAAGCUGCAUUAGAGUAUGGGCAUAGUGCUUGGGGCACCGGCUCUGGGGAACUUUGGGGGCAGCCUCCACAUGGGAAGAUUGGCUCCUGUCCGCUUGUGAGGGACCAUCGAGGGUGCUGGUACUACUGAGGCUACUGAGUUCUACCCAUGUUGAUCCCACCCCAAUGAUGAGAACCGCUGGCACCAGGCCAUUUAAGUCAUCCAAGCCACUUGCAUUGCCUCCUGCGCCUCAGUGUUUUCAUCUGCAAAAUAGACACAGUGACUGGGACUCUGUGUGAGAGCUAGAUGAGAGGAGGGGUUAGGGCUGGAUAAACGGCAGCAGGCAGUAUCUAAAUGGUAUCAGUGCAGGGUCCUUAGGACGGAGAGAACAGGCCACACGUUCCAGUUGCUACUCCCCGUGUACUCGGAACCCUGCCUUGAUAUUGUCUCUGUUUCAUUCCCAUUCAGGUGCCACCCCAGCCUCCCAUCCCUAGGCCACCUGGGGUUACUGGCCCAUCCCUGUGUCAGGGAAAGUAGCUCGUGAGGAUGCUGACUUUAUACCUCCAAGGAAUGGGGUGAUGGCAUUUUCAUUCUUCUGCCCUGGGCAGGGAGGAAACUUAGGUGGGGACGGUGGCCUCUGGUGGCUACAGUCCAGCCUGCAAGCAUACAGCCUCGCAGCUGCAGGCCAAAAGAGCUGGAGAAAGCAGCAUGUUGAGCCUGGCCUGGACUGAUUUAGACAUUCAGGAGACUAGAAAAGCGUAGGAAAUGAAGGAAAUUUCCCCAGGGAAGGGAGAGACAAGAUAGAGGAGCUUAAGUGCCUGGAUAAUUACAAAGCAUGGCCUGAUGAUUUACUGCCAGGCAGCCUGGCUCCUCUAACUGCCUCCACUACCCAUCUUUCUGGGCCCCCCAUGCCCUAGAGACCAGCCAUGGGGAAGGCAGAGAGGCCAUGGACACUGCCCCACACCCAGCCUCACAUUGUCUCCUGGAGUUGGGCUCAAAGUCAGCUCUCACAGGAGGCACUAUGAAGGGGACCAAGCUUCACUCUGUGCUGGGCUCAGACAUCUGGUAUCCGGGUGGCUUCAGAGAACUCGGACCUGACCCAACCCCAUUCUGUAGACUGAGGAAAGGGGGCUAUGAGAUCAGGCCCUCACAGUCAACACACUAGCCUGUGCUAGAAUGUUGCAGGGACCGUAGUAGACAGCUAAAAAGACUGCCUGUCCCUCCCACCUGAAAGAAGGCUCCCAUCCAUUCUCAGUUGAAGACCAAUCUCCUGAAUGGAACAUUUAUUGUGGUUUGUUUUGAGACAGGGUCUCACAGUGUAGCCUUAUCUAGUUUGGAACUUGCUGUGUAGACCAGGUGGGCCUUGAACCCACAGAGAUCCACCUGCUUCUGCUCCUGGAGUACUGGGAUUAAAGGUGUGUGCGCCAUGCCCAGGUCUUGGAGGAACUCUUGACAAGCCUUGUGUCUCCACAACUCUUUUUUAUUUUAUUAGGACCCCAUGUCACUAUGUAGAAGCCCUCCAAACCUUGUGCUCACCACCUAUACUGUGGACAUACAGCUCCUGUGGUCCUCUCACCCGUGUCUACGCUGGGAGCUCCUCGGGAAGGACAGCUAUCACCACUCAUGGUCUUACAGCCUGACUCAGAACAUGACUGCUCUAGAGCCUCCCAGGAAAGUGAAAGCCUGUCACAUGUACCAGAAGACCACAUAGGACCUCAUACACAGGCUUCAGCCGCUUCUUGACAAUUCUACCAGGUGACCCCUGAAGCUCAAGGGCCAUGCCCAACCCAGGCCCUGCCCUGGAUUCAUGUGGACCCGACAGAGGCCUGAGCCCUUGGCUGUAGGUCAGAAGCAGCACAUCCCAGAGUGAUGCCUUAUGAUGCCAUCCAGGUCCACAGAACCCCAGCAGCCCUGGCUCAUUAUCCUACUGACAGCCAUUCUGGCUUCCCAAGGUAAGAGAAAAGGGGGCGACCCUUAAAAGAAGCUGGAAGGUAGUUCCCCGCGCAGUAGGGAAGGAUGUGGAUUACAAUGUCUUUGAAUCUUCCUGGGUAGCAUGGGGGUUGCUCCAUGGCCCUGCCUGGCUCCAUGCUCUCUGCCAGGAUAGCAAGAAGCUGUGUAUAGACCGAAGGGCCCAGCUGCCCCAUUUAGGAAGCUAGCUGAAUGCCGGCCCCAGACCUCUUUCCCACAACUCCUGGGAAAAACAGUCUGUGGCUCUGCAGUGAGGCUUGCCCAGGCCAUGCCCCUCUUCCAGGGAGACCCCCAAAAAUGUCCAAAGCCCAACUACCCAGACCAAUGCCUUCUCAAUGUGCCAGGCCAGGAUGGAUCUUCCUGGGGUCCUGGAGGGGAGAACCUAGAACAGGAAAAAUCUCCCAAGGAAGGGCCAUGCCUAGAGGGAGGUGACAGAGGGGGCUGUCAAAGAGCAGGCAGAGUCCAUGCCCCGCAAUGUGACAUCUGUAGUCAUUUCCCAUGACCUGGGUGAUGCUUGGGUGGAGGGUAUCUGCAGAUGAGUACACACCUCGCUGGUCAAAGCUGGUAACCCAUAGCCUAAAUGUCCAGCCCCAAGCUGAGUCUAGGGAGCAGAAUGCACUGCACAGUGUACAACAGGCCAUCUGUGCUUUGCCCUAGGUAUAAGCCAGCGGCUUCCUCAUGACUCUCACUACUGUCCAUACCAGACAGCUAUCUCCCUAGCUCUCCAGAGGGGGCACAGAGCCAACUGACUUUGUCUCAGACUCUGUUUCCAGAUGGAGGGAGCUAGGCUCAGGUCUGGGCCUCUCCAGCCAGCCCAAGACCCCGAAUUCCCGCUUUUCACUCUCGAGUUUUGCUAUGGGUCACAGUGUUCAUUACCUCUGUUCUAGGAGUGAGCAUGCUCCCAGGGUACUACAAAGUCCACCCAGAGCCCAGCGCGGGUCAGACCCAUCCUGGGAUCAGCAUUCGGUGGCAGAGCCAGAGAAAGCCAGGUCCAAGGCAUUUAGAUGCCAGCUCCAGGACUGACCGUGCAUAUCUGCGAUACACUUUUGGAAGAGGGUAUUCAAGCCUAUGGUGCACUUCCCCCACAGACCUGCCAGAACCCAGGCUGAAGCCCAGGGAUACUGAGCAAACCUGGAUCAUCUUCGCUCACAAAUGAUCUUGUAUUGUCUCGGGGGCGUUUGCAUUAGUCAUUUCUCUAAACGUCACACAAAGGCGUUACUUGUCUUGGUCACCCCUAGCAUGCCUGUGUUAGCCAGACCCACAAUGGUCCUCAGUAGGCAUGGCCUGCCUCUGGGCACACCAACCCAGACCCAGUCAGCUAGCAUGCAUCUUGUUAACUUUAUGGGCCCUGUUCACAAGGAGGCCCGCCUUCUGCCCAGCCGGAUGCCACCCCUCCCAUCGUUCCCAGACUCGCUGUUGGCACGGCCUACUGAGCAGAGACACUGGUCGCUUUAUGGGAGAAACCUAAUCAGGGAGGCCAGGAGAGGGGGGCUGCCAUGGGGGGGGUCUGGCUCUUGGUGGCCCCAAGCCAAGCCUGAGGUGACUUCAGGGUGACGCCGUCUGUCUGCCUCUCUCCCUCCAGACAUCCGCCUAGCCCUGAAAAGGCCACCUGCCUGCCUAGGCCUUCAGUGCACCUGUCCUAGCCAGCCUGGCUCCUCCCCCAGGCACCCUGCCCAUGGGUAGACACCGCAGGACUGGGACAAGGUUGGGAGGUGGCAGCUGGCAGGUGGCAGGGCGUCUGCUGACUGCUCACUCCCUGGCGACCUGUUGAGGAUGACCAAUUCAUGUCACUGCCCUCCCUGCCACUGGCCCUCCUCCAGCCUGGCACCGCUGGGCCCCUUUGGUUUGUUUUAGGACCCCUUUCCUGUUAGCCCUUGGGAAAGGAAGCAUUUUUGUGGGUCCCAACCCCCGGGGCUGAGGUCAGUGGCCAAGGCCUGACUGUCACACAGGUAGGCCUGGGACAUCUAAACACUCCCCAAGCAUGGAUCUGGGACUCUUCCUCACUCAUUCACAAGUAUCUCUGGAGAUGGCCACAAACCAGGAAAGGGUGACCCUUCCUGAAGUCUUGUGGAACCAGCGUAAGCCCUCUGGGUAGGGCAGAGCUGCCUAAGAACUGAGGAGACCUUGGCAGCCACUCCCGCAACCACAGCAUGGAGAGACACCUGAGGGAAAUGGGUUCAUGGCAGGUACCUGUGGGUCAGCCUCACUAGACCCAAGCCCUGGGCAGAGAGAGGCCCCCUGGAGAGCAGGAGCCUUGUGGAAAGAAACAGGAAAAACGGGUCAGCAGUUCCUGGCAGAGGGGCAGUUCAGGGCAAAAGCCAGGAGGCAGGGAGGACCUGGGAGAUGGCCAAGGAGGGCAGAGGAGGCUUGCCCAGGGCACUUUGCUGCUUUAUGGGUUGGGGGCAGGGCUGAUAGGCACAAUGGGAAGGACCAGAGAAAGGGUGUCAAUGUGAUGGAUAGCUUGGCCAUCUUGGGGGUGCAGGCAGGGCUGGCAGGCAGGGAGGGAGGGGGCUGUCCCUCCCUUGUGUCCUCACCAGACCCUCAAUAGCCAAUGGCCUCAUCUUCCUUUCCUUGAGCUGUGUGGGAAACAAGGCUUGUAACAAACCACUCUGGCUUGAUGGACAGAACUAGGCAGAUCCCGAGCAGGGCUGUCUCUGUAUUCCACACCCCAGGCUCCGCUCCAGAGACCAUCAGCUGGCCACACUGCUCCCUCACGGCUACCAUGUCUCUGCUUGGUCCUCCAUCUUUCUGCUAGUUCUGCCGAGAGAGAGAGAGAGAGAGAGAGAGAGAGAGAGAGAGAGAGAGAGAGAGAGAGAGAGAGAGAGAGAGAGAGAGAGAGAGAGUGUGUGUGUGUGUGUGUGUGUGUGUGUGUGUGUGUGUGUUCAGGCACGUCUUGCCCUAUGUCCCAGGGAAGCUGCAUCUUGAUGACAACCUCUAGAGAGGAUUAACCCUCUCUCCAGGGUCCAGUUAAUUAACACAGUGUGCAUGAGGGCCAGUGUGAGCCUGUCCCCUCGUGGUGCUUCCUCCCUGGGGUCCCACAGCCAGUGGCUAGGUGGGCUACUGGCCACCCACAUAGACUUGCCUGCCACCAUGGAUGAAGUUUGAGUCCUAGUCUCUGGCCAGCAUGUCCAGCACAGGCCUGGUUUCAGAGGCCAUCCCAUCCAAGGCUUCUCAUGCAGAGUGGCACCAGGCAGUAGACAGACAGAUGAAAAUGUCACUGUGCUGUGGGCUAGCAGGGUGCAGCCAGGGGAGGCAUCAGGGACCAGGCUUUCUCCUUUUGGAAGCGGUUGAUUGUUGCUUUUGUUUCUAAACCCAAGCAGGUCAGGAAGUGAUGCAAGCAGGAGCUUCUGCGCGAAGUUGAUACCCCCGUGGUGAGUGGGGCCCCACUGGCCUUCCUUGGGAGAGCUGGGAGCCAUGGGAGACAUCAGAGUGGGAAAGACUAGGGUCCAAACCACAUCUCUGCCACUGCUCCAGGGCCCCAGCUUAGAUGCCUUUACCUGGAGGCCUGUGCUCCCUCCCCCCAGGACUGUGCCUCCCACCUGGAGACUGCCCCCAGAAGGUUCAUCUCAUCUACCCAUGAUGCACUGUGAUACGGUGAUCUUUGAACGCAUAUCAGCCUACCCAGGCUGGACGUGGUUUAACGGAGCUGCAGUUCUGUUUGUUAUUGGUUCUGAGUGGAAGAGGCACGGCCCCUCUACCCUGAGUCUACACUGUCUACAGGCUCACACCCUUCAGGUCACCCAGCCCUGAGAGCUCUCUGGAAACCUCACAGGCAGCUCUCUUUUCUCUCUGUCCCCCAUGGCCAUCACUCACUCCCCCAGUAUGAUCCUAAUACCCCCAUGUCACCUGGCAUUGAUGGAGGACCUGCCAGGGGAGUCGUGUCUGGAGGGAGAAGAAAGGCCAGGUGAGGGAAGCAAUCGCAUCUGUUCCCAGGUUGGGCUAAGGCUCAGAGGGUGGCGGCCAUGGUCAAGGAGGGACCAGGAUGCUUGUCUCCCGUUAUUUUUCUCCUACAGCUUGAACCCUGCAUGGCUUGUGAUGCAACGAAGCCCGAACUCGGGGAGGGUAAGCAGGGGCAGAUGCAAGACAGGCACUUUUGGAUGUCACAGUAGCAUACACUAGCCUCCUGCUGAUUGCUCACUAGAGUGGCCAAGGAGCUGCUGAGAAUCCCCAACGGUCAGCUAAAGGGACCCCACAGAAAUGCAAGUGUGCCAAGAUUUACCCAUUGAGGAGGCAGCCCAGGCCUUCCAGGCAGUCCUGCUCACGAUACUGUAUCCUGUCAGCCAGGCACAGAACCCAAAGCAUUGAGAGGCCUGUGUCGAAGUGUGCCCUCUCUCCUUGUUCAAGGAGCUUCUGAGGGGUGCAGAUGGAGACAGCCAAAGUAGCCACUAGUCAUUCUUCCACACCCAGGUGCAUCCUGGGAACUGACACGGUUAACCAUGGCCAGUCAGUGAUACCUCCAUCUUCCCACCUGGUCCACUCAUCAUAGAUGGGAACAUCAGGGGACCCUGAGCCACUUUCUUCCAAUGCGUCUUCCUGCCUUGCUGGCCCUGCUUGGACCAUCCUUGGGGAUAUUUGUCCUUUCUGUUCAUGAAAGGGUCCAGGCUUGAGGCAGGGAAUAGCACCCCAGUGGCUCUCAUAGAAGUCCUUCGGGGGCUAGACAGUACCAGCAUACUGGGAGGCAGGGAGGGAGGCAGGCAGGCAGGUAGGCAGGUGUGGCAUCAGGUGCUGGGGUUCAUGCCCAGAGCAAAAGCUGCCUGGCUUCCUGGGCCUGGGCACAGAACCUCCCUCUGCAUUGCUGGGCAAACCUUUCUGAGGCCUGAAAGACACAACCCCUUCCCUUCUGAUAGCAAAGUCACGUGGGACUAGAGACUCUGAGCCUUCUGGGCCUCAGUUUCUUCACAGUGAUCGGCCUCACAACUGGAGGGUUAGAUGCGCCCAGCCUGAUGGCUGCCCAGGAGAACUGGAGAGAGGCCUGCGGUGGAGUCUCCAAGCCUGUGUUGGUACCAGGGAGCAGAGAGCUACAGAAGCUUCUUACAAGGUGGGCAGAGUACUCCACACAGUGCUACUGCUCAGCUGGGAGGCCGUAGGCCUUGCUUAUAAGAUGGGCUUACAAUACGUUUGCCCAAUAUUCCCCAGCUAGCGGCUGUGAACAGUGCUUAUAGCCUGACCGAUUCCCAGAGUGGGCCUUACCUGUCCCGCACAGUGAGUAUCAUCAUCCACACCAGGCCGUCUGUCCUUACUAGGGCAUCCUCCCUGCUGGGUUCUGUCCAAGGCUCUGGGAGCCCCAAGCUUAGAGCCAAGCACGGAGCCCUUGCUGGCUUCAGGAAGGGCUCGUCGCCAAGGACAGACUGGACAUCAGUGUCCAGCCAGGGUCUGCACUUCCGCCCAGCUGGCCACCAUGGGGAGCUAGGCUGCCUCCCACAAGGAAAAAAAAAUGAUUUUGAGCCUCCCCCAGCGAGGUCAGCUCGGGCCACUCUGAGGGGAGGCAGGGACUAAACCCUCAAGGAGGGGCUUUUCCUGUGUAAGAGGAGGAGGAUGCUUGCCCAAGGCCACUGCCUAGCAGGAGUCCUGGUGCCUCCAACUCUACUUAUGCUAGAGUUGACUGCACAGAGCCUGGGUCUCAGCCAGGCGGACACUGGGAGCUCCCUGGACCUGGCUGGCCUUUGACAAGUGACUCCCUUCCCUCAUUGUGGCCAUUCCUGCCUAGUGACUUGUCACCUUUUCCUCUCUACUCCCCCCCCCCCACUUCCCUCAUUGUCUCUGCUCGGUGAUUUUGUCUAAGUGUCUGGCCCACUUUGGGGGAGCCCCAGCCCACUGCUGGCUGAUACCCUUAGCACCAAGCUGGCCAUGUUGGGCCCCUCACCUUGUUCCCAGCUGUCCUUCUUCCUCUAGGAGGCAUCUCAAGAAGCCAUAACCUCCAGCUCUACACCAAGACUGACUGACGGCCUUUGGGGUGAGGUAGUAGGUUGUAUGGUUUUGGGCUCUGCCCCGCUCUGCGGUAACUAUACAAUCUACUGUCUUUCCUGAAGUGGCCGCAAUAUCUGCAGAGGACACAACGCCAGCCCUGUCUGGGGAGGCCGAGGGAAGUACAGGGAGCAGUAGCUGCCAUGCAACAAGAACUUUGGACAGGGACCUUGGACAGUCCCUUGACCUCUCUGGGGUGUGGGUGUAAAAGCAGACAUGUGGCAUUUCCAGGGCACCUCCUUUCCCUUUACUACACCGAAGGGGACCCCAUCAUAUUCGGCCUGGGCUCACAGGCCUCCCUAAGGAAAGGGUUCGGACUGGACCUUCAGCUCUGUUCCAGAGCGGUGACAUACUCCAGGCCUGGCAUAUAUCCAGACUUUCCAACUCAAAGUCAGGCUUCUGAUGAAUGGCAGCAUGUCCAUCUCCAUAGAGUCAGGGCAUCUUUUACAGGAAAGAUGUGAGAGGAAGGUCCUUAGCAUGCCUGGGUACCCCAUGGGCACAGCCUGCAGCUGGCCAGUGUAGGCCACUGUCCCUGGGGUGAUGGGUUCAGACCCUGGAGACCUCCCUGAUCCAUCUGGUGGGUACGGGCCUUUCUUGCUGAGCCACUGUCUCUGCUUCCCCACCUGCCCUGUGCCAGCUGUGCCCUCUGGCUCUGGUGGCCUGUGGCCAGGGUGGGUGGGGAGCGGCUGGGCCUCCUCCAGAAUGUGGACACCGCAGGGUGAGGUAGUAGGUUGUGUGGUUUCAGGGCAGUGAUGUUGCCCCUUAGAAGAUAACUAUACAACCUACUGCCUUCCCUGAGGGGCCCAGCGGCGCAUCUACUUGGAGGCCCCUGCUCAGCGAGCCACGUGGAGAGCCUGUGCCACAGAUUGGGUGGGAGCUGCAAUGUGGGGCCUGGAUAAAAAUAAAGGCUGUUCUGACAUGAA